RNAcentral lists this ribosomal RNA (253 nucleotides) under uncultured bacterium. RNAcentral describes it as "partial 16S ribosomal RNA". It matches the Rfam family "Bacterial small subunit ribosomal RNA", at positions 524 to 776 of the family's 1533-position model. The record is from RNAcentral.
UACGGAGGAUGCAAGCGUUAUCCGGAAUGAUUGGGCGUAAAGCGUCCGCAGGUGGCUAUGUAAGUCUGCUGUCAAAGCGUCUGGCUCAACCAGAUAAAGGCAGUGGAAACUACAUAGCUAGAGUAAGGUAGGGGUAGAGGGAAUUCCUGGUGUAGCGGUGAAAUGCGCAGAUAUCAGGAAGAACACCCGUGGCGAAGGCGGCUCUCUGGGACGGUACUGACGCUGAGACGCGAAAGCGUGGGGAGCGAACAGG